RNAcentral lists this transfer RNA (65 nucleotides) under Habroloma sp. RNAcentral's name for it is "tRNA-Gly". The record is from RNAcentral. Lineage: Eukaryota; Metazoa; Arthropoda; Insecta; Coleoptera; Buprestidae.
AUUUAUAUAAUAUAAAAUAUUAUAUUUGACUUCCAAUCAUAAAAUCUACUAAUGUAGUAUAAAUA